RNAcentral lists this long non-coding RNA (1930 nucleotides) under Homo sapiens (human). RNAcentral's name for it is "non-protein coding lnc-VTCN1-3:3". The record is from RNAcentral. Lineage: Eukaryota; Metazoa; Chordata; Mammalia; Primates; Hominidae.
GCUGCCGCCGCCCCUCCCCCACCCAGCCUGGCUGCCCGGGCUCCGGCCUCGCGCCGCUGCCGGCUCCAGCAGCCCGAAAGCGUACUGCUGCCGCCGCCGUCUGAGCGCGAAAGAAGAGAAGGUCGCCGAUCUGCGCUGCCACGAGAACUUCACCGGUGCCCAGGGCCUUGCCACCGCCAGUUCGUGGGGUUGACCCAGCGUUUGGGCGAGAGGGAGCGAGGGGUUGGGUCGCGAAGGUUUCGCUGAAAUGUAGUGUCACCGGAGUUAAUGGCUUCUGAUGGCUUAGGUUAACGUUUACUGUGAUUCUUUGGAAGUCUUGUCUUCAGCGAUAGACCGUCAGGCCCGAGGAUUCAGCAACAGGGUCUCAAACUUCCACGCAGCAGCCCAUGCUCACGUUAUUGGGCCCCCGAGGCUCGAUUAAUAGAGCACCAACAUGUGCCAUGUUACGUUUUUAAAAUAAAGUGGUGACCCUGCUCCUUCAGCUGGGCUUCCUUUCAGAGGAAUCUAGGUACCCCCGAUAUGACAGGCGUCUCUUCAUUGUUCAGUUUCUGGGGCACGUUCUAUCAUCUUCACACACCUCAUCAACCCCCUUCCCAUAAAAGAGAAAAUGGAUGAAUAAGGAGGUGCUGAAACCCAAAAAGGCGACAAUAUUGUUUACGUUCAGGCUUAAAAACAAUCUGAAUCAAUUCUGUUCUCCGUAGUAUUGAGGAGAGCCAUGUUGUGAUUAAGUGCAAAAGAUUUCCUUGCAAGAUACAUAGACUCUUGCAUCCGAUUUACUUGCAGGUUGUUUUUGUUCUAAUAUUGUCAUUCCCUGUACACAUCCUUUACUGAUGACUGGGAAUUGGAGAGGAGGCCCUUAAAUGUCAGGAGAGUAAGUCAGCCUUAGCUUAAAAAUCAAGCAGAAAAGUCUCAUGUUCAUUGGCACACUUGUAACUACAUUCCAGUCUCCCAGUCUGCAUUAUUUCUAGAAGCUCUGCAUAUCUAACUGCCUACCACAUGACAAAAGUCAUUGUCAUUGAUCCUGCUUCACCAAAUAAAAAGUAAAAAUAUUGAGGGCCACCUCUCACCAGUUCACCCAGGGAGACUGGUAAGCAAGGAGUGCCCGGUCCCUAGUGAGAUUUAUGUUGAACAUUUGUGAAGAGUAGAUAUAAGAAACUUUUAGCCUUCCCAAUAUGUCUUUAUAAAAUGUGCCAAAUUUAAGAAUAAGUCUCUAAUGUUGAGACUCCGUAAGCCAAAGUGGGGGGGGCGGUGGGGAGGCGGGGAAGAACACACUGUUUUCCUACUGUUGAGAUCAUUAGUUUCCAUGAAAAGUUCAGGGGAAAUAAAUACUGAACUCUGAAUGAAAUAGCAAGUUAUAUAAAUCUUGAAAAAUAAAUAUUACCUAGGUUAACACUAGACUUAACCACAAGAGAUUUCAAUCAUGAAACCUGACAUAACCUAGUUGACAAGUAUAGCUUAAGCAAGUAAGACCUCAUUGCUGAUGGAGAAGACCCCUUUUCCUUUGCUUGUCUGUUUUGCAAAAUUCAUUUUUCCUUCAUGAGAGUAAAAACAAUUUAGGGGUUAUUGCAGAUGUCCAAAUGCAGCCAGCAAUUUUAAAGUCAUUGAUGAUACCGUCAGUUAUCACACUCCUACACCAGCAAUGAAAAUACUGUAUACAUAGUAUUACAUAUAUCCACUCUUCUAAAGGCAAGUCUGAGUUUUUAAAGAAUCAUGUUGUUUAAAAAAAAAAAAGUUGCAAAUGUAUCCAUUAAUUAUAAUUAUAUGCACUUAAAAACAUAGAAAAAGAAUAUUUGAAAAAGAUUGCAACUAUUCUGUUAAGAUACUGGUUUUACGUAUGAUUUUCUCCAUUGUAUUCUGUUGCAUUAUAUUUACAAUUAAAUAAAAAUUAUAAAGGAACUGGUGCCUGAAAAAGUUAAGGUCAAAUUUCAAA